AAUGAACGCUGGCGGCGCGCCUAAUACAUGCAAGUCGAGCGAGAAGACGUAGCAAUACGUUUGUAAAGCGGCGAACGGGUGAGGAAUACAUGGGUAACCUACCCUCGAGUGGGAAAUAACUAGCCGAAAGGUUAGCUAAUACCGCGUACGCUUCUUGGACUUCGGUUCAGGGAGGAAAGCGAUGCCGAGGGUAUCGCGCUCUUGGAUGGGCUCAUGUCCUAUCAGCUUGUUGGGAGGUAACGGCUCACCAAGGCUUCGACGGGUAGCUGGUCUGAGAGGACGAUCAGCCACACUGGCACUGCGACACGGGCCAGACUCCUACGGGAGCAGCAGUAAGGAAUAUUGCGCAAUGGACGAAAGCCUGACGCAGCGACGCCGCGGUGGGGGAUGAAGGUCUUCGGAUU
RNAcentral lists this ribosomal RNA (404 nucleotides) under uncultured bacterium. Its description in RNAcentral is "bacterial SSU rRNA". It matches the Rfam family "Bacterial small subunit ribosomal RNA", at positions 29 to 424 of the family's 1533-position model. The record is from RNAcentral.